This 301-nucleotide ribosomal RNA is filed under the name uncultured bacterium. RNAcentral describes it as "partial 16S ribosomal RNA". It matches the Rfam family "Bacterial small subunit ribosomal RNA", at positions 509 to 808 of the family's 1533-position model. The record is from RNAcentral.
CAGCCGCCGCGGGAAUACGUAGGUCCCGAGCGUUGUCCGGAUUUAUUGGGCGUAAAGGGAGCGCAGGCGGUUUAGUAAGUCUGGAGUUAAAGGCAUUGGCUCAACCAAUGUAUGCUUUGGAAACUGUUUGACUUGAGUGCAGAAGGGGAGAGUGGAAUUCCAUGUGUAGCGGAGAAAUGCGUAGAUAUAUGGAGGAACACCGGUGGCGAAAGCGGCUCUCUGGUCUGUCACUGACGCUGAGGCUCGAAAGCGUGGGUAGCGAACAGGAUUAGAUACCCCGGUAGUCCCUGUCUCUUAUACA